RNAcentral lists this non-coding RNA (240 nucleotides) under Caloramator mitchellensis. RNAcentral describes it as "T-box sequence". It matches the Rfam family "T-box leader". From Rfam's summary of the family: Uncharged tRNA acts as the effector for transcription antitermination of genes in the T-box leader family. T-boxes are found upstream of many aminoacyl-tRNA synthetase genes and some amino acid biosynthetic genes usually in Gram-positive bacteria. The anticodon of a specific tRNA base pairs to a specifier sequence within the T-box motif, and the NCCA acceptor tail of the tRNA base pairs to a conserved bulge in the T-box antiterminator hairpin. Lineage: Bacteria; Bacillati; Bacillota; Clostridia; Eubacteriales; Clostridiaceae. The record is from RNAcentral.
UUAAAAGCGAUGAAGGGAAGAGUAGAUAUAGGAAGUAAUUACAGCGAGCUGGUGGUGGUGUGAGACCAGUAUGAAGCCUUUAUUGAAGAACAUCCCUUAGCUCCCAACCGAAAUCUUUUGAGAGUAGACUUGGGCGGAAAUCUCAACCGUUAAAACGAGAACAGUUUCGAGCAAUGCUCCGAACUGAGAGUGGUUUUUACAAUUUGGGUGGUACCGCGGAAGUAGCCUUUCGUCCCAUUA